RNAcentral lists this ribosomal RNA (774 nucleotides) under uncultured Neocallimastigales. RNAcentral's name for it is "partial large subunit ribosomal RNA". The stretch from base 5 to 693 matches the Rfam family "Eukaryotic large subunit ribosomal RNA", at positions 24 to 664 of the family's 3401-position model. The record is from RNAcentral. Lineage: Eukaryota; Fungi; Neocallimastigomycota; Neocallimastigomycetes; Neocallimastigales.
UAUCUCUGUAGAGUCUGCAUAUCAAUAAGCGGAGGAAAAGAAACUAACAAGGAUUCCCUUAGUAACGGCGAGUGAAGCGGGAAGAGCUCAAAUUUGAAAUCUUCAAGGUUUUACCUUGACGAAUUGUAGUCUAAAGAAGUGUUUUCUGUUGGAGUUUUGGUAAAAGUUCUUUGGAAUAGGACAUCAUAGAGGGUGAGAAUCCCGUAUUUGACCAUUAUUUCCAGCUGUGUGAUACACUUUCAAAGAGUCGGAUUGUUUGGAAAUGCAGUCCAAAAUGGGUGGUAAAUUUCAUCUAAGGCUAAAUAUUGGCGAGAGACCGAUAGCGAACAAGUACCGUGAGGGAAAGAUGAGAAGAACUUUGAAAAGAGAGUUAAACAGUACGUGAAAUUGUCAAAAGGGAAGCGUUUGACACCAGUGUUGUUUUCUCGAAAAUCAAUUAAAAAUGAUGGGAUUUUGUGUUGUAUUGACUUUAUCAGCUUUCUGCACUUUUUUCUUAUCUUUUUUAAUGCACUUUUCGUUUAACAAGUCAACAUCAAUUUCUUUUGUUGUAAAAGAGUCAUUGGAAGGUGGCUUUUUCUUCGGAAAAAGUGUUUAUAGCCUUUGGCUUCUGCAAUCGGAGAGAUUGAGGUCUGCAGCGUAGAUCCUUCGGGGUUAGAUACAUUUGUGCUAAGCUAUAGUUCUUUAUAGACAACUUGUUGACUAUAAUCAAUCCUGUAACUUACUCGCUUAUGCUAUUUUACCUACGCUUAGGAUGUUGAUGUGAUACUGCGAGCA